Molecule: RNA transcript, 4450 nt
Organism: Lepus europaeus (European hare)
Lineage: Eukaryota; Metazoa; Chordata; Mammalia; Lagomorpha; Leporidae
Gene: NSUN3
Gene name: NOP2/Sun RNA methyltransferase 3
Exons: 8
Source: RefSeq, a predicted model, not a curated record
UUGACAAGGCCGGCAUAGUAAUGUCUCGCGACAACAUGACGAGACAGCGUGCGGAGGAAAGCGAAUUACGGUCCCGGAAGUGUGCUUGUUGUUUCUGCUCCGUGGCGGCUAUUUGAAUGCGAAGCGGUGUAGACGUCUUUGGAAGCUCCCGGCUGGAAUAUGCUGACCCGGCUGAAAGCACCAACAGAAGGGAAGCUUGCAAAACAGAUUUGCAAAGUUGUGUUGGAUCAUUUUGAAAAACAGUAUUCCAAAGAACUUGGAGAUGCCUGGGAUACAGUAAGGUUUAUCCUCACAUCUCCCUCGUGCUGGCAAUAUGCUGUCCUGCUCAACAGAUUCAAUUACCCUUUUGAACUGGAAAAGGAUUUACAUUUGAAGGGCUACCACAAGCUCUUUCAAGGAUCUUUACCCUACUAUCCUAAAUCAAUGAAGUGUUACCUCAGCAAAACUCCAUACCGCAUGACUUCAGAAAGACACCAAAUUGGGAACCUGAAAAAAUACUAUCUUCUAAAUGCUGCUUCUCUUCUCCCAGUACUGGCUCUGGAAGUACAGGAUGGGGAAAAGGUUCUGGAUCUGUGUGCUGCUCCUGGAGGGAAAUCAGUAGCCCUGCUACAGUGUGCUUAUCCAGGUUAUCUUCAUUGUAAUGAAUACGAUAGUCUGAGAUUGAGGUGGCUGAAGCGGACGUUAGAAUCUUUCAUCCCACAGCCUUUGAUAAAUACAAUUAAAGUGUCUGAAUUGGAUGGCAGAGAUAUGGGAGAAUCUCAGCCUGAAAGCUUUGACAAGGUGUUAGUUGAUGCUCCAUGUUCAAAUGAUCGAAGUUGGUUGUUCUCUUCUGAUUCACAGAAAGCAGCCUGUAUGAUAAGUCAGAGAAGGAAUUUGCCUGUUCUACAGAUAGAACUCUUAAGACUGAGAGAGAGAGAGACAGAGAGAAAGGUCUUCCUUCUGUUGGUUCACCCCACAAAUGGCCACCACAGCCAGCACGCUGUGCCGAUCCGAAGCCAGGAGCCAGGUGCUUCCUCCUGGUCUCCCAUGUGGGUGCAGGGCCCAAGCACUUGGUCCAUCCUCCACUGCCUUCCUGGGCCACAGCAGAGAGCUGGACUGGAAGAGGAGCAACUGGGACAGAAUCCGGCGCCCCAACCGGGACUAGAACCCUGGGGUGCCGGCGUCACAGGCGGAGGAUUAGCCAAGUGAACUGUGGCGCCGGCCUGGCAGAGUUAGACAGUGAGAGAGAGAGAGAGAGAAAGGUCUUCCUUCUGUUGGUUCACCCCCCAAAUGGACACCACGGCCGGUGUGCUGCGCUGAUCCGAAGCCAGGAGCCAGGUGCUUCCUACUGGUCUCCCAUGUCGGUGCAGGGCCCAAGUAUUUGGGCCAUCCUCCACUGCCACAGCAGAGAGUUGUACUGGAAGAGGAGCAACUGGAACAGAAUCUGGCGCCCCAACAGGGACUAGAACCCAACUGCUGUUUGCCUGAAGAAAUAGUAAACUGAUACAAGCAGAGUAAAAUGAUGAGAAACAGGCAGUGGAAAAAUGAAAGAAAUGAAAACUGCUGAAAAGGAACGAAAGCAGAAACAUUGGAAAGAAACACUAGAAGCCAGCAAUAUAACAUGAAAAUAUGGAAUAAAAAGGAAGAGUCUCCACAUACUUAGGAAAAUGGAAGCAAAAAUGAAAUGUAGAAGAAUUGGACAUUUGUCAUUAGGAGAGACAAUAAAGAAAAAAAUUAGAGACAAAAGCUGCAUGGAGCUCAUAAAAGUUGGCAAAAAGAUAUGGUUUUACCAUUUGUGAAGUUGACUUGCAGUGAUUAAAACGUUUCUAUUCUUUUGUCGAGUUAGGCCAAUAAUUUUUUAUUGUUAUUAUUUAUUUGACAGAUAGAGUUAGACAGUGAGAGAGAGAGACAGAGAGAAAGGUCUUCCUUCUGUUGGUUCACUCCCCAAAUGACCGCAACAGCCGGCGCUGCACCAAUCCGAAGCCAGGUGCCAGGUGCUUCCUCCUGGUCUCCCAUGUGGGUGCAGGGCCAUCCUCCACUGCCUUCCUGGGCCACAGCAGAGAGCUGGAUUUGGGAGAAGAGCAACCGGAACUAGAACCUGGCGCUCAUAUGGGAUGCUGGCGCUGCAGGCAGAGGAUUAACCAAGUGAGCCACAUUGCCAGCCCCCCAAUAUUUUGUUUUUAAAUAUUAAGUUGAUGUUUUUCCUUUUUAAAACCAGACCGUUUGCCCUCCAUGCUAGCUUCCAAUUAGAUUUCCCUUUUGUUACCACAGUGGCAGUGUUGGGGAUAAUAGGCAAUUUUGUACCACAUAUCUCAAUUUUAAAAUAAUGGUCAUGGUUUUCCAUACAGUCAACUUUACUUACUAAAAGUUAUCAACUUAAUUAGAAAUGAGACCACAGUUGCUUAGUAGCCCUCAUUAACAGAUUGUUUUAUUUUCUGUAGGAGUUUAUUUUCUAUGACCCAUGUUAGUAAAUGCCUUAUUUCCAAAUAAAGCCUCUGGCCUCUAUCACUUCCAUCUGUUCUAUAACAUAGUAGUUGGAGGUUGCCUUAGCUCUUUCCUACUCAGAAUUUUUGCAUGUUAGUUGCAGUUUAAUCUAUUCCUUUGCUUUACACUGAAAAGUUCUCUUCAUGGCCAGCCUCUUAAUUAGGGCAACAUUUAUUCAUUCAUCCAUUCAUUUAAUAAAUGUAUUUUAAGAACAUACUUUCCCAUUAUGCUAUUUACAAAAAAUACAGAAAGAACAUAAAAUAACUUUUGUUUGCAAGGAGUUGAACAUUUAUUUAUUGCUUAGGAAAAAUAGCAUAGGGAGGGGCUGGCACUGUGGCGCAGUAGUUAAUCCUCUGCCUGCAAUGCUGGCAUCUCGUAUAGGCACCAGUUCUAGUCGCAGCUGCUCCUCUUCCAAUCCAGCUCUCUGCUGUGGCGUGGGAAAGCAGUAGAAGUUGCCCCAAGUAGAAGAUGUCCUUGGGCCUCUGCACCUGCUUGGGAUACUGGGAAGAAGCACCUGGCUCCUUGUUUCGGAUCGGCACAGCUCCAUCCAUUGUGGCCAUUUGGGGAGUAAACUAAUGGAUGGAGGAAAUUUCUCUGUCUCUCUUUCUCACUGUCUGUAAUUCUAACUCUCAAAUAAAUAAAUAAAAUCUUAAAAAAAAAAAAAAAAAAAGAAAAAUAGGCCGGCGCCAUGGCUCAACAGGCUAAUCCUCUAAUCCUCCACCUAGCAGCGCCGGCACACCACGUUCUAGUCCCAGUCAGGGUGCCGGAUUCUGUCCCGGUUGCCCCUCUUCCAGUCCAGCGCUCUGCUAUGGCCCAGGAGUGCAGUGGAGGAUGGCCCAAGUGCUUGGGCCCUGCACCCCAUGGUAGACCAGGAGAAGCACCUGGCUCCUGCCUUCGGCUCAGCGUGGUGCGCCGGCCGCAGCACGCGUACCGCGGUGGCCAUUGGAGGGUGAACCAAUGGCAAAGGAAGACCUUUCUCUCUGUCUCUGUCUCUCACUGUCCACUUUGCCUGUCAAAAAAUAAAUUAAAAAAAUUUAAAAAAAGGAAAAAUAUCAUAGGGAGAAAUUCCAUAAGGAAUCAGUGAAGCUUACAGACUAUGUGAGCUUUGAAGUGAUUCUUGAAGGAUGAAUAAAAGUAUACCUGUUCUAAAAGUAAUAUUAUGAUUUUUGUGAAAAAUUAAUCAUGUGAGCAUUAGAAACUGCUAAGCAUCUAGAAAGAGAAGACAAAGAAUGGAUUUUAACUUCUUGUCUUGAUAGUUCAAUUACACAAUCUUGUCUAUCUUGCUUUGCAUGUGCAGAUAUUCUGAUAUAUUCUGAUACAUACAUACAUAUAUAUACAUACAGAGGAGGAAUUCCUGUAAGUGACAGAAGGGGUUUGUUAUUAGAACUAGAUCCCAUUCAAUUAUGGAAGCUGGUUAAAUAGUCUACAUAAGUUUAUAUAAAAGUGCCCUACUUGCCCUACUUCUGGUGCUGGAUUUCAAGUCAGCAGGGCCACCAGCUAGCACAUGAAACAGGGGAGGAGAAAGACAUAGUAGGACUCAUGAAGUCAAAGAGGAAAUUCUUCUUUCUAUCACCAGAAUGUACAUAAAUUUUUUACAACUGCUAAGCAUCCAACUUUUCUGAAGUAGAUGAUCUACAAAAGAAUUGGUAUAUCCUUCCACGGAGCUGUACUGGAACCAUGGAGAAGACGAAGGAAGAUCCUGUGAUUGUUAGAAGAAUUGUGGGCACAGCUGCUUCUCUCCACCUAUAAGUUGAACCAGUGGAUCUGCACUGUGUGUACAUUAAAAGCACAUGCACAUUUGAAGGAGUUUUGACAAUUCGAUCAACAACUCUAUCAAGAUACAGAAAAUUUCCAUCAUCCCAGAAAGAGUCCCAAUAAUCCUUGAAAAUCCACUCAUACCUAUCACCAAAAGUAACCAUUAUUCUGAUUUCAAUUUUUUUUUUUUUUAAACUGUAGUUUGGUCUUGCCUGUUCCUGAAAUUUCUAAA